GACGAACGCUGGCGGCGUGCUUAACACAUGCAAGUCGAACGAAGAGCGAUGGAAGCUUGCUUCUAUCAAUCUUAGUGGCGAACGGGUGAGUAACGCGUAAUCAACCUGCCCUUCAGAGGGGGACAACAGUUGGAAACGACUGCUAAUACCGCAUACGAUCUAAUCUCGGCAUCGAGGAUAGAUGAAAGGUGGCCUCUACAUGUAAGCUAUCACUGAAGGAGGGGAUUGCGUCUGAUUAGCUAGUUGGAGGGGUAACGGCCCACCAAGGCGAUGAUCAGUAGCCGGUCUGAGAGGAUGAACGGCCACAUUGGGACUGAGACACGGCCCAGACGCCUACGGGAGGCAGCAGUGGGGAAUCUUCCGCAAUGGACGAAAGUCUGACGGAGCAACGCCGCGUGAGUGAUGACGGCCUUCGGGUUGUAAAGCUCUGUUAAUCGGGACGAAAGGCCUUCUUGCGAAUAGUGAGAAGGAUUGACGGUACCGGAAUAGAAAGCCACGGCUAACUACGUG
Molecule: ribosomal RNA, 510 nt
Filed under: uncultured bacterium
Lineage: Bacteria
Description: partial 16S ribosomal RNA
Rfam family: Bacterial small subunit ribosomal RNA
Source: RNAcentral